This 485-nucleotide ribosomal RNA is filed under the name uncultured Lactobacillus sp. RNAcentral's name for it is "partial 16S ribosomal RNA". The record is from RNAcentral. Lineage: Bacteria; Bacillati; Bacillota; Bacilli; Lactobacillales; Lactobacillaceae.
CACGUAGUUAGCCGUGACUUUCUAAGUAGUUACCGUCAAAUAAAGGCCAGUUACUACCUCUAUCUUUCUUCACUACCAACAGAGCUUUACGAGCCGAAACCCUUCUUCACUCACGCGGCGUUGCUCCAUCAGACUUUCGUCCAUUGUGGAAGAUUCCCUACUGCUGCCUCCCGUAGGAGUUUGGGCCGUGUCUCAGUCCCAAUGUGGCCGAUCAGUCUCUCAACUCGGCUAUGCAUCAUUGCCUUGGUAAGCCGUUACCUUACCAACUAGCUAAUGCACCGCAGGUCCAUCCAAGAGUGAUAGCAGAACCAUCUUUCAAACUCUAGACAUGCGUCUAGUGUUGUUAUCCGGUAUUAGCAUCUGUUUCCAGGUGUUAUCCCAGUCUCUUGGGCAGGUUACCCACGUGUUACUCACCCGUCCGCCGCUCGCUUGUAUCUAGUUUCAUUUAGUGCAAGCACUAAAAUCAUCUAGGCAAGCUCGCUCGA